This 253-nucleotide ribosomal RNA is filed under the name uncultured bacterium. RNAcentral describes it as "partial 16S ribosomal RNA". It matches the Rfam family "Bacterial small subunit ribosomal RNA", at positions 524 to 776 of the family's 1533-position model. The record is from RNAcentral.
UACGUAGGGGGCAAGCGUUGUCCGGAUUUAUUGGGCGUAAAGAGCGUGUAGGCGGCCACACAGGUCUGCUGUGAAAACUCGAGGCUCAACCUCGAGCUGUCGGUGGAAACCGUGUGGCUAGAGUCCGGAAGAGGAGAGUGGAAUUCCCGGUGUAGCGGUGAAAUGCGCAGAUAUCGGGAAGAACACCAGUGGCGAAGGCGGCUCACUGGCCCGGUACUGACGCUGAGGCACGAAAGCGUGGGGAGCAAACAGG